RNAcentral lists this long non-coding RNA (369 nucleotides) under Fukomys damarensis (Damara mole-rat). Its description in RNAcentral is "lncRNA (ENSFDAG00000023434.1)". The record is from RNAcentral. Lineage: Eukaryota; Metazoa; Chordata; Mammalia; Rodentia; Bathyergidae.
UCAAAACUACCAUGAUUUUUUAAAUUAACUUUUUAAAAACCCUUUAUUUUCUUACUCAGGUUCCUAACUAAAACUGCAUCACAAGAAAUGCCACCUGUCUCUUCAAUUAAAAAGCAGAAGAUAAAUUGUUGGACCUUGAAUCAUUGCUGAUGCUUCUACAAGGGAUACCAUUCAAGGGUUUAAAAGUGAAACGAAAACCACAAACAAGAGUAGAAAUGGGCUGUCCUGAAGUCUCUUGCCACAAAGAAGAAGGAGGAAGAGAAGAAGAAAACAAAAGGAGGAAAAGAGAGAGAAGGAUGUAGAAGAAGAGGAAGAAAAGAUAAAGGUAGGGAACCAGCCUUGGGGAAAUAAAAAACUGAGACCUCCACA